Molecule: ribosomal RNA, 481 nt
Filed under: uncultured bacterium
Lineage: Bacteria
Description: bacterial SSU rRNA
Rfam family: Bacterial small subunit ribosomal RNA
Source: RNAcentral
GACGAACGCUGGCGGCGUGCCUAACACAUGCAAGUCGAACGAAGCAUAGCAAUAUGCUUAGUGGCGGACGGGUGAGUAACGCGUGAACAAUCUGCCCUGUACAAAGGAAUAGCCUCGGGAAACCGGGAUUAAAACCGUAUGACACUUUAGUAUCGCAUGAUAAGAAAGUCAAAUCGAAUAGAGGUAUGGGAUGAGUUCGCGUCUGAUUAGCUGGUUGGCGGGGUAACGGCCCACCAAGGCGACGAUCAGUAGCCGGCCUGAGAGGGUGAACGGCCACACUGGAACUGAGACACGGUCCAGACUCCUACGGGAGGCAGCAGUGGGGAAUAUUGCACAAUGGAGGGAACUCUGAUGCAGCGACGCCGCGUGAGUGAAGAAGGUCUUCGGAUCGUAAAACUCUGUCCUUGGUGAAGAAAAGGACGGUAGCCAAGGAGGAAGCCCCGGCUAACUACGUGCCAGCAGCCGCGGUAAACGUAGCGUG